AUGAACAACGACAACUCAUAUGAGGAUGCCGAGGAGAUCAAUUUGAUUCCUUUAUUGCUAUUGUUGCACGACAAUAUCUGUUAUUGUCGCUAUUGUCAGGAAAAAUAUCCCAAUAUACACACUGUAUUUGCCAAUGUAACAGCAUGGUUAAUCUCAAUCUGGGACAAUGCAUUAUUUUCUAAAUAUAGUCAAACAUCACCGGAUAUAUACUUUGAACAGUCAAAGGAACAUGCUACCAGCAGGAAGAAAACAUGCUUGCAUUUUCUUAGAUGGUAUGUAGGACCUGAAUACUAUUUGCCGGACUGCCGACGUAUUAUGUAUAUUGUAACAGAACUACGUGGAUGA
RNAcentral lists this ribosomal RNA (345 nucleotides) under Triticum aestivum (bread wheat). Its description in RNAcentral is "partial small subunit ribosomal RNA". Lineage: Eukaryota; Viridiplantae; Streptophyta; Magnoliopsida; Poales; Poaceae. The record is from RNAcentral.